CCCUUAGAUGUUCUGGGCUGCACGCGUGUUACAAUCGGGAGUACAACAAGAUUGCAAAUCCUAGUGGAUGAGUGGUUCUUCGAAAUUUUCUGAAGACUGGGAUAGUUGAUUGAAAUUAUUCAACUCAAACGAGGAAUUCCUUGUAAUUGUAAUUCAUUAUAUUGUAAUGAAUACGUCCCUGCCCUUUGUACACACCGCCCGUCGCUCCUACCGAUUGAACGAUCCGGUGAAUUAUUUGGAGUAGCUCUGGAAGUUGCAGAACUUCCUAUGUCACGAAAUUUUGUAAACCUUGUCGUUUAGAGGAAGGAAAAGUCGUAACA
RNAcentral lists this ribosomal RNA (320 nucleotides) under uncultured eukaryote. RNAcentral describes it as "partial 18S ribosomal RNA". It matches the Rfam family "Eukaryotic small subunit ribosomal RNA", at positions 1470 to 1796 of the family's 1831-position model. The record is from RNAcentral.